Molecule: ribosomal RNA, 495 nt
Filed under: uncultured bacterium
Lineage: Bacteria
Description: partial 16S ribosomal RNA
Rfam family: Bacterial small subunit ribosomal RNA
Source: RNAcentral
GACGAACGCUGGCGGCGUGCCUAAUACAUGCAAGUAGAACGCUGAAGGAGGAGCUUGCUUCUCUGGAUGAGUUGCGAACGGGUGAGUAACGCGUAGGUAACCUGCCUGGUAGCGGGGGAUAACUAUUGGAAACGAUAGCUAAUACCGCAUAAUAGUAGAUGUUGCAUGACAUUUACUUAAAAGGUGCAAUUGCAUCACUACCAGAUGGACCUGCGUUGUAUUAGCUAGUUGGUGGGGUAACGGCUCACCAAGGCGACGAUACAUAGCCGACCUGAGAGGGUGAUCGGCCACACUGGGACUGGGACACGGCCCAGACUCCUACGGGAGGCAGCAGUAGGGAAUCUUCGGCAAUGGACGAAAGUCUGACCGAGCAACGCCGCGUGAGUGAAGAAGGUUUUCGGAUCGUAAAGCUCUGUUGUAAGAGAAGAACGAGUGUGAGAGUGGAAAGUUCACACUGUGACGGUAUCUGACCAGAAAGGGACGGCUAACUACGUG